Molecule: small nucleolar RNA, 116 nt
Organism: Microtus ochrogaster (prairie vole)
Lineage: Eukaryota; Metazoa; Chordata; Mammalia; Rodentia; Cricetidae
Gene: SNORA72
Rfam family: Small nucleolar RNA SNORA72
About the family: U72 is a member of the H/ACA class of snoRNAs. The snoRNA gene is located in intron 4 of the ribosomal L30 protein gene in human, mouse and chicken.
Source: Ensembl
UCGUUCUUUUCAGCUGCUAGGCUUCUGGGCAGGCUAAACACUGACCGUGCUUCAUGGAUGUGUCCCCAGACCUAAUUGUUUCCCUAGGUAUGGUAUUAUAAACUCAGGUGAUGACC